RNAcentral lists this ribosomal RNA (476 nucleotides) under uncultured bacterium. RNAcentral describes it as "partial 16S ribosomal RNA". It matches the Rfam family "Bacterial small subunit ribosomal RNA", at positions 28 to 507 of the family's 1533-position model. The record is from RNAcentral.
GAUGAACGCUAGCGGCAGGCCUAACACAUGCAAGUCGAGGGAGAAGCCUUUCGGGGCAGAAACCGGCGCACGGGUGCGUAACGCGUAUGCAACCUACCUUUCACAGGGGGAUAGCCCGAAGAAAUUUGGAUUAAUACCCCAUAAUAUUGUUGGAUGGCAUCAUCUGAUAAUUAAAACUGCGGUGGUGAAAAAUGGUCAUGCGUCCUAUUAGCUAGUUGGAGUGGUAACGGCACCCCAAGGCUACGAUAGGUAGGGGUCCUGAGAGGGAGAUCCCCCACACUGGUACUGAGACAGGGACCAGACUCCUACGGGAGGCAGCAGUGAGGAAUAUUGGUCAAUGGUCGGAAGACUGAACCAGCCAUGCCGCGUGCAGGAAGAAUGCCUUAUGGGUUGUAAACUGCUUUUAUAUGGGAAGAAUAAGGUGUACGUGUACAUUGAUGACGGUACCAUAUGAAUAAGCAUCGGCUAACUCCGUG